Molecule: long non-coding RNA, 279 nt
Filed under: Gossypium raimondii (Peruvian cotton)
Lineage: Eukaryota; Viridiplantae; Streptophyta; Magnoliopsida; Malvales; Malvaceae
Description: long non-coding RNA (GRAI_LNC010834)
Source: RNAcentral
AAACUACACCAUCAUGCACUUAGAUCUCGCCUCAUUGGACAGCGUCCGCCAAUUCGUCGACCGUUACAAGCGAUCGGGGAGGCCUCUUAAUGUGCUUGUUUGCAAUGCUGCUGUUUACCAGCCAACUGCCAAGGAACCCUCUUUCACAGCUGAAGGAUUUGAGCUUAGUGUGGGAACUAACCAUCUUGGUCACUUUCUUCUUUCCCGGUUGUUGCUUGAUGACCUGAAGCAAUCUGAUUAUCCUUCAAAGCGUCUCAUUAUCGUUGGUUCGAUUACAGG